GCUCGAGUGUGGUAGGGGCAGAGGGAAUUCCCGGUGUAGCGGUGAAAUGCGUAGAUAUCGGGAAGAACACCAGUGGCGAAGGCGCUCUGCUGGGCCAUCACUGACGCUCAUGGACGAAAGCCAGGGGAGCGAAAGGGAUUAGAUACCCCUGUAGUCCUGGCCGUAAACGAUGAACACUAGGUGUCGGGGGAAUCGACCCCUCCGGUGUCGUAGCCAACGCGUUAAGUGUUCCGCCUGGGGAGUACGCACGCAAGUGUGAAACUCAAAGGAAUUGACGGGGGCCCGCACAAGCGGUGGAGUAUGUGGUUUAAUUCGAUGCAACGCGAAGAACCUUACCAGGGUUUGACAUCCUGCGAAUCUCUUGGAAACUUGAGAGUGCCUUCGGGAGCGCAGUGACAGGUGGUGCAUGGCUGUCGUCAGCUCGUGUCGUGAGAUGUUGGGUUAAGUCCCGCAACGAGCGCAACCCACGUCUUUAGUUGCCAGCAUUUAGUUGGGCACUCUAGAGAGACCGCCGGUGAUAAACCGGAGGAAGGUGUGGAUGACGUCAAGUCAUCAUGCCCCUUACAUCCUGGGCUACACACGUACUACAAUGCUACGGACAAAGGGCAGCAAGUUCGCGAGGACAAGCAAAUCCCAUAAACCGUGGCUCAGUUCAGAUCGUAGGCUGCAACUCGCCUACGUGAAGGAGGAAUCGCUAGUAAUCGCAGGUCAGCAUACUGCGGUGAAUACGUUCCCGGGCCUUGUACACACCGCCCGUCACACCAUGGAAGUUGGCCACGCCCGAAGCCGUUACUCCAACCCUUGUGGAGGAGGACGUCGAAGGUGGGGCUGAUGACUGGGGUGAAGUCGUAACAAGGUAACCGUA
Molecule: ribosomal RNA, 865 nt
Filed under: uncultured bacterium
Lineage: Bacteria
Description: bacterial SSU rRNA
Rfam family: Bacterial small subunit ribosomal RNA
Source: RNAcentral